This 433-nucleotide ribosomal RNA is filed under the name uncultured bacterium. Its description in RNAcentral is "partial 16S ribosomal RNA". It matches the Rfam family "Bacterial small subunit ribosomal RNA", at positions 29 to 507 of the family's 1533-position model. The record is from RNAcentral.
AACGAACGCUGGCGGCAUGCCUAACACAUGCAAGUCGAACGAGACCUUCGGGUGUAGUGGCGCACGCGUGCGUAACGCGUGGGAACCUGCCCUUAGGUUCGGAAUAACUCAGUGAAAUUUGAGCUAAUACCGGAUAAUGUCCUCGGACCAAAGAUUUAUCGACCUUGGAUGGGCGCGCGUAGGUUUAGCUUGUUGGUGUGGUAAUGGCCUACCAAGGCUACGAUCCUUAGCUGGUAUGAGAGGAUGAGCAGCGACACUGAGACGGAGACACGGCCGAGACUCCUACGGGAGGCAGCAGUGGGGAAUAUUGGACAAUGGGCGAAAGGCUGAUGCAGCUAUGGCGCGUGAGUGAUGAAGGCGUUAGGGAUAUAAAGCACGUUUACCAGGGAUGAUAAUGACGGUACCUGGAGAAUAAGCACCGGCUAACUCCGUG